Molecule: ribosomal RNA, 1257 nt
Filed under: Corynebacterium sp. HMSC29G08
Lineage: Bacteria; Bacillati; Actinomycetota; Actinomycetes; Mycobacteriales; Corynebacteriaceae
Description: bacterial LSU rRNA
Rfam family: Bacterial large subunit ribosomal RNA
Source: RNAcentral
UUGUUUGUAGUGAAGGGCGUACGGUGGAUGCCUUGGCAUGCUGAGCCGAUGAAGGACGUGUGAGGCUGCGUUAAGCCUCGGGGAGUUGCCAACUAAGCGUUGAUCCGAGGAUGUCCGAAUGGGGAAACCCAGCACUAGUUAUGUGGUGUUACCUGCAGGUGAAUCUAUAGCCUGUAUGGGGGUAUACGCGGGGAAGUGAAACAUCUCAGUACCCGCAGGAGGAGAAAACAAUUGUGAUUCCGUUAGUAGUGGCGAGCGAAGGCGGAUGAGGCUAAACCAUGUGUGUGUGAUACCUGGCAGGGGUUGCGCAUGUGGGGUUGUGGGGUGCAUCGGAAGUUAUCUGUCAGUGACUUGCUUGAUGUGGUUGUGUCAGCGGAAGCGCCUGGGAUGGUGUACCGGAGAAGGUGAUGAGUCCUGUACGUGAAGGCAUGAUCAUGUUGGGUGUAUGUGUUCCCCGAGUAGCAGCGGGCUCGUGAAAUCUGCUGUGAAUCUGCCGGGACCACCCGGUAAGCCUAAAUACUCAGUGUGACCGAUAGUGAAUUUUAGUACCGUGAGGGAAUGGUGAAAAGUACCCCGGGAGGGGAGUGAAAGAGUUCCUGAAACCGUGCGCUUACAAUCCGUCAGAGCACCUCGUGUGUGUGAUGGCGUGCCUUUUGAAGAAUGAGCCUGCGAGUCAGCGGCAUGUCGCGAGGUUAACCCAUUUGUGUGGGGUAGUCGUAGCGAAAGCGAAUCCGAAAUGGGUGGUAAGUGGCAUGUCCUGGACCCGAAGCGGGGUGAUCUACCCAUGGCCAGUGUGAAGCAGCUGUAAGAGGUUGUGGAGGCGCGAACCCACUUAGGUUGAAAACUGAGGGGAUGAGUUGUGGGUAGGGGUGAAAGGCCAAUCAAACUCCGUGAUAGCUGGUUCUCCCCGAAAUGCAUUUAGGUGCAGCGUUAUACAAGCUUGCUGGAGGUAGAGCUACUGGUUGGUUGAGCGGGACUAUCAUCUUAGCAAUGUCAGCCAAACUCCGAAUGCCGGUGAAGUGGUGUAUAGCAGUGAGACUGUGGGGGAUAAGCUUCAUAGUCGAGAGGGAAACAGCCCAGAUCGCCGGUUAAGGCCCCUAAGGGUGUACUAAGUGGAAAAGGAUGUAGGAUCGCGAAGACAGCCAGGAGGUUGGCUUAGAAGCAGCCACCCUUGAAAGAGUGCGUAAUAGCUCACUGGUCGAGUGGUUCCGCGCCGACAAUUCAGUGGGGCUCAAGUACACCGCCGAAGCCGCGGCA